CGGGCGCGCACCGGCUGAGCCUGACUUUCUGUUUCCCUUUAAUUAGGGGCGCCCACUGACGGGCGGAAAGCUACUUCCCGGAACCCUAGAGGCCCGAGACCAGGUCCCAGACAUUGCCCUUUGGGCUCUCCUACUGCUCUCAACGCUCCUGCGUUACGUGCCCGCUGCCUGCUGUCACUGUUCGCGCGCCUCAUUUCGAGGCUGUUUGCUCCAGCGCUUAUUCAGACCGCCAGCGCGAGUCUGUAAGUGUGUACGGCAUAAUGGAGAACCAAGGGUGCCCAGGAGGCAGGAAGGUAUUCCUGCCCAGCCAGUUCACGUUGUGACAUGCAGAGGAGCAGAGAAAGCUGUUCAAAGCCCUGCCUGUAACUCUGUGUUGGAACCAGGUUUGCUCAGAUCAAGCCUAGCUGCUCUCGUCGGUGUUUCUGGAAAAUAGACACCUUCGGGCCCAGCCUGAGGUUUGGCUAGAGCAGUCCAACUGCUUCUGUCUGAUAAUCAAGCCACCUUGAAGUUAGAAGCAUAAAGGUGAGUGAGAGGUUUGGGGGUUCCUCAGAAAGUUAAACACAGAAUGGCCAUAUGAGCCAGCAAUUCUACUCCUAGACAUAUAUCAAAAAUAAUUGAAAACAGGUAUUCAGACCAAAAAUUGUACACCCAUGUUCAUGGCAGCACCAUUCAGAAUACCGAAAGAUGAAAACACCCCAUAUAUCCAUCAAUGAAUGAACAGAUAAACAAAAUGUAGGAUAUCCAUAAAAGUGGAAUUAUUCAGCCAUAAAAAGAAAUGAAAUACUGUCGGACGGAUGCUAUAAUAUGGGUGAACCCUGAAGACGUUAUGCUAAGUGGAAAAAGUGAGUCAAAAAAGGCCACAUAUUGUAAGGUUCCGUUUAUAGGAAAUGUCCAGAACAGACAAAUCCAUAGUAACAGCAGAUUACUAGCUGCCAGGAGCUAGAAGGAGGGAAGAGCGGGAAGUGACUGCUUAUGGGCACAGCGUUUCCUUGUGGGGUGAUGAAAAUGUUUAGGAACUAGACAUUGUAAUGGUUGCAGAACAUCGUGGAUGUACUAAAUGCCCUGAAUUAUACCCUUUAAAAGUGGUCAAAUGAUGAAUUUGAUGUCAUGUGAAUCUUACCACAAUAAAAAAAAAAUGAG
RNAcentral lists this long non-coding RNA (1140 nucleotides) under Ursus americanus (American black bear). RNAcentral's name for it is "lncRNA (ENSUAMG00000005986.1)". The record is from RNAcentral. Lineage: Eukaryota; Metazoa; Chordata; Mammalia; Carnivora; Ursidae.